Molecule: long non-coding RNA, 1526 nt
Filed under: Manihot esculenta (cassava)
Lineage: Eukaryota; Viridiplantae; Streptophyta; Magnoliopsida; Malpighiales; Euphorbiaceae
Description: long non-coding RNA (MESC_LNC008952)
Source: RNAcentral
UUUCUAUCUUUUCCUAUUAAAAAAUAAUUAAGAGUAUUUGGCAUUAUAUGAAGAAUCGAUUCCUCUUGUCCCUCAUGGAAACAAAGCAAGUUGUAAUGAAUUGGAGACUAACAAAAAUCCAAAAAUGAAAUAACAAAUCAUUUGGAUCUCAAUAAAAGAGUUGCAUUAUUUUAUUUGAAAAUUAAAAAGGAAGAGGGUGAAUCUGAAUCUAUCGAUUUCCACAGCAAAUCCAAACACAAAAAGAAGAGAAAUGCAGCUAUCUUUAUCCAUAUUUUGUCUCUUCCUUUCUAUUUCUCCAUAGAUUUUGUUGUUUUCUAUUCAAUAAUCAAAAUUUCUUGUCUAUUCUAUGCCUCUAUCUUCCUUCAAAUCCAAAGUCAUAGGCUAAUUAUUUUCUAUUGAAAAAUUCGUUUACCAAUCAAAACGGUGGGCAUCAAAAGUAGUGGUUUUACCUUUCAAAAUAGUAAUUUUUUCUAAUUAUAUAAAUAUAUAUAGAGAGAUAUAUGUGUGGAAGAGAUUAAUCUUAUGGAAUCAUUUGAUGGGGGAAAAAAUAAAGUGUAUGCAAAAAUAAGAUAAAAAUAAAGGUUGGAGAAGUAGAGAGUACACUGACCUCAAGAUACAUAUCAAUGGCUUUGUAAACUCCAUCGAAGCAAUCUCUAGCAGAAUCUGGUAAACUCUCUGCAACUCCAAGAAAUUUUGAGGUCUUGAGGUUGGGAUCAGGAGAUAUUUCACUUAAAUAUUUAUCAAUCAAUUUACCAACUUUCUUCAUCCUUUGAAUGCUCACCAUUUCACCAUUAACAAAUAUUCUUAUCAAUCUUAUAACCAGAUUAACGUCAUAAAUUCCACUCCUCUCAUGCCCAGAUAUCAGCAGAUCAUCCAAUGUUGCUUCGUCAAGAAUGUUGCCUAUCACCUUCUCCAACUUAGCUCUGCAAUCUUUGCUCACACCAAAUCUUGACACACUCCUCAGUAUCAGCAGCAGUCCUCUGCAAGAAAAUUCACUUUUCCCGGCCAAUAUCACCCCAUGAACAGCUGUGUCUGCAAGACCACCAUAGUCGGAUCUUGAGCACACAGCUUUGCGCGGAACUCUGUUUUUCAGGUAAUGGAGGAUGAAUCUUGUGAUGAUCAAGCUGUUGUUAUGAAUCCCAUAUGCCUCCCAAUUCUUGAUGAAACUUUCAAUUAUUACAGGAGAUAAUAAGGCUAAGUCAUUGAACCACCACUGGUUGCCUGAGGAUGAAAACGGUUUUCUCGACUCGGGAGUGGUUUUGGAAGAGGAGAGUCUGAACCCAGAUGCAGUUUCUGGAGAAGAAGACGAAGACGAAGAAGAAGCAAUCAGGUUUGUAUCAGAAUGUUGAGUAAUCUUUGCUAAUAAGCCAUAGAUGAGCUUCUGGACAAGGCCUGAUGAAUCUGCAUAUGUGAAAAAGCACUCACAGCUCUUGAGACUUGCGAGUAUAUCAUUCCAUGACCAGUCAAAAAUUCCUUCAAGAAAGAUCUCUGUCUGUUUCAAGAGAUUGCAAUUUGAGACUUUAUCU